GCCGGUGUAGCUCAGUUGGUUAGAGCACGAGUCUCAUAAGCUCGGGGUCAGGAGUUCAAAUCUCCUCACCGGCA
This 74-nucleotide transfer RNA is filed under the name Candidatus Pacearchaeota archaeon. RNAcentral describes it as "tRNA-Met". It matches the Rfam family "tRNA". Rfam says of the family: Transfer RNA (tRNA) molecules are approximately 80 nucleotides in length. Their secondary structure includes four short double-helical elements and three loops (D, anti-codon, and T loops). Lineage: Archaea; Nanobdellati. The record is from RNAcentral.